RNAcentral lists this ribosomal RNA (429 nucleotides) under bacterium. RNAcentral describes it as "partial 16S ribosomal RNA". It matches the Rfam family "Bacterial small subunit ribosomal RNA", at positions 355 to 776 of the family's 1533-position model. The record is from RNAcentral.
UGGGGAAUCUUCCGCAAUGGACGAAAGUCUGACGGAGCAACGCCGCGUGAGUGAUGACGGCCUUCGGGUUGUAAAGCUCUGUUAAUCGGGACGAAUGGUUCUUGUGCAAAUAGUGCGAGGAUUUGACGGUACCGGAAUAGAAGGCCACGGCUAACUACGUGCCAGCAGCCGCGGUAAUACGUAGGUGGCAAGCGUUGUCCGGAAUUAUUGGGCGUAAAGCGCGCGCAGGCGGAUUGGUCAGUCUGUCUUAAAAGUUCGGGGCUUAACCCCGUGAUGGGAUGGAAACUGCCAAUCUAGAGUAUCGGAGAGGAAAGUGGAAUUCCUAGUGUAGCGGUGAAAUGCGUAGAUAUUAGGAAGAACACCAGUGGCGAAGGCGACUUUCUGGACGAAAACUGACGCUGAGGCGCGAAAGCCAGGGGAGCGAACGGG